Molecule: non-coding RNA, 257 nt
Organism: Lepisosteus oculatus (spotted gar)
Lineage: Eukaryota; Metazoa; Chordata; Actinopteri; Semionotiformes; Lepisosteidae
Source: RefSeq, a predicted model, not a curated record
UGCAUCAGUUCACCACUCUUAGUGCCCGGAUCUUGACAGAAGGCCCUCAGCUGUGUGGGGGAGGUCAAAGAUGCCUUGUAGUACUGCCAGGGCUCAAGGAGGCUGCCUUGUUUCACGCUUGUCAUCUGCCAGGUCCUGUUCUGUUCGAGGGUGUUGUCAUGAAGCCCUUCUUCUGGAAAAGCUCCUUCACAACAGAGCAGAAAGUUGAUGGUUUUGCUACAAACAUUUGGAGUACUUGUCUACAUUAAAUGGUAAGU